AGGGUUAAGGCUUUAGCUAUGGAUGAUGUAGGUUUAUGAGGGUUUGCCUCCUCACAGCUAUCUUCUUGGUUUUAAUUAAUGUGAAGGGAGGGUUAGAUCAAGAUUUUUAUAGGUUAGAGAGAGAUCCUUUAUCUCAGUUUCUCUUUACCAUUGACAUAAUGACUAAAAGGCUGAAGGAUUAGGUUUGGUGGUGGGCAUUAAGAUUUAGAGAGUGUUGGUCACAACUCAUGACUAUCAUCUUCAAUUCAUAGUUGCCAUUAUUUUUUUCUUCAUCUAAUUCCACAUUUAAAGUUGCCAAUAUGAGUCGAUUUUUGAGAACAUUUAGCUUGGCCUUUGACCUCAAAAUUAAUAUGAGGACAAGUACUUGAUUUGAUCCCAACCUUAUUUAAGAGCAAGUAAAGAGUUUAUCCUCCACAUUAUGGUGCUACCUUAGGGGUUGGCUUGUUAAUUUCAUGGGCUUAGGAAUUAGCACAUCAGAGCACCUAGUUUUUGAAACCCAACUGUUGAAAGCAUGCCUAGGCCUAGUUGGUUUUUUUUUUGGUUGGUUGGGGUGGGGUGGGGGAGUAAAAGGUGGAAUUUCUUUGAUCUAGUUAUAUCUUACUCCUUGUUUCCUACUUUCUAUCUAUUUUCAGGAUCCUACUUCGUGUGACAGCUAGAUUGAGAGAAUCCAAAACAAGCUCCUCUGUUAAUUUUAACUCUUUUCUUAUAACCAUAGUUUUUUUUCCCCUCUCAAACUGUAAAACCUUUUAAAUAUAAUCCAUCUUUAAUAAUUUCAAUUCUUGGAAUUUGAUUUCUAAGGCAACCCCGUUGAUUGAGAAAUGAAGACUUAGGCUCUCUCUUAUAUUAAGUCUUUAUAUGUAGCCUCUCUUGAAGACUUUAUAUGUGGAAAAAACUGUUGUCUUGAAUAAACUAGAUUAUAAUGAAGACUUUAUAUGUUGUCUUGAAUAAGCUGAUUAAGAAACAAUUCUUGGAAUGAAGACAACAUAUAUUCUUAGAAAAAGUAUAUUUCUGGGACGAGUAGUAGAAAUUAAGAGAGUUAAAUCUGGAAGAAGUGGAGGCUAGAAAGGAGGCAAAGGAGGAUUAUAAGAAAUAGGUUCUCAUGGAGGAAGUCUCUUGGAGACAAAAGUCAAGAGAAGUUUGGUUGAGGGAAGGAGAUAGAAACACAUGCUACUUCCAUAGGAUGGCAAAUGCCCACAAAAGGAGAAAUUGCUUGGCUAAGAUUAAAAUUAACGACUCUUGUUUUUUAGAGGCAAAUGAGAUUAGGUGGGGGGUUAGGGCCUUUCAGAAUCUGUUGACGAAUCUAGGAGAUUGGCGCCUCCAUUGCUUUCUAGCAGUUUAGUCGGGAGUUUGUGAAGGAAGAAAUUAUGGGCUUUUUUAGAGAUUUCCAUGAGCGAGGGAGAUUUGUUAGAAGCCUGAAUGCUAUGUUUUUGGUUUUAAUCCCAAAAAAAGGUGGUGCAGAUGACCUUAGAGACUUUAGACCCAUUAGCUUGGUGGGUGGUAUUUACAAGCUGUUGGCUGAAGUGUUAGCUAACAGGCUGAAAAAGGUGAUCAAUAGGGUGGUGUCUCCAGCCCAAAACGCGUUUGUUGAAGGAAGGCAAAUUUUUGAUGUUGCGUUGAUAGCUAAUGAGACUAUUGAUUCUAUGUUAAAAAGGAAUGAGAGGGGGGUGUUAUGUAAACUGGAUUUAGAAAAGGCUUAUGACCACCUAAAUUGGAAUUUUUUGCUGACUGUGAUGCAAAAAAUGGGCUUUGGGGGAGCAGUGGGCAGGUUGAAUAAGUUGAUGUAUCUCCUUUGCAUUGUUUUCGAUCUUGGUUAAUGACACUCCUUUAGGUUUCUUUCAAAGCACUAGGGGUUUGAGGCAGGGGGAUCCCUUAUUGCUUUACCUCUUUGUGAUUGGGAUGGAGGCCCUAAGCUGCCUCAUUAAUAGAGCUGUGAGUGGGGGUUUCUUAUCAGGCUGCAGGGUUAGGGGAAGGGGAGGAAAUGGGGUUCAAGUUACCCACUUGUUGUUCACUGAUGAUACUAUGGUGUUUUGUGAAGCUUCCUUAGAGCAGAUGACCUUUUUGAGUUGGAUUUUAAUGUGGUUUGAAACCAUUUCAGGGCCGAAAAUCAACUUGGACAAGAGUGAAAUCCUUCUGGUAGGAAGGGUUGAGAAUGUGGAGGAUUUGGUCCUUGAACUUGGUUGCAAGGUGGGGCCGCAACCUUCCUCUUACUUGGGGCUCCCCUUGGGGGCUGCUCAUAAAUCAGUGGCGGUUUGGGAUGGGGUGGAGGAGAGAUUCCGAAAGAGGCUUGCCAUGUGAAAAAGACAAUUUAUUUCCAAAGGAGGGAGGAUCACCCUCAUUUGGAGCACUUUGUCAAGUAUGCCCAUAUACCUCAUGUCCCUUGUGCAUAUGCCACGAGUGGUUAGAUUGAGAUUAGAGAAAAUUCAAAGGGACUUCCUUUGGGGUGGGGGAGGGUUGGAGAAGAAGCCUCAUCUUGUAAAGUGGGAGGUUGUUUGUUCUGAUAGAAGGAAGGGCGGUUUGGGUGUUAGAAGCAUAUCGAAUCUUAAUAGAGCCCUAUUGGGUAAAUGGAGUUGGCGUUUCAUGGAAGAACAGGGGACACUAUGGAAACAAGUGAUAAGUAGGAAGUAUGGGGUAGAAGAAGGGGGGUGGUGUACUCGAGAAGUGAGGGAGGGGUAUGGUGUGGGGUUUUGGAAGGAAAUAAGGAAGGAAUGACCUUUAAUGAGGAGCAAUUUUGUUUUCUCCAUGGGGGAUGGAAGAAGAGUGAGAUUUUGGAAGGAUAGGUGGUGUGGUGAUGACACUUUAAGCAUUUCCUUCCUUUCGUUGUUCUUGCUGGCGGUUUUUAAAGAGGAGUGGGUGGUAAAGGUGUGGGUUGCUUUGGGGGAGGAGGGGGGGCUGGAAUCCACGUUUUUCUAGGCCGUUAAUGAUUGGGAGAUGGAGAUCCAGUGGGUCUUUCCAGAUACUGUAAAGG
This 2965-nucleotide long non-coding RNA is filed under the name Vitis vinifera (wine grape). RNAcentral describes it as "long non-coding RNA (VVIN_LNC002024)". The record is from RNAcentral. Lineage: Eukaryota; Viridiplantae; Streptophyta; Magnoliopsida; Vitales; Vitaceae.